GUCUAUAACCAUACCAUCCUGAAUGCACCUGAUCUCAGAAGCUAAGCAGGGUUGGACCUGGUUAGUAGUACUUGGAAGGGAGAAAAGAAAAUUACAGACC
This 100-nucleotide ribosomal RNA is filed under the name Tursiops truncatus (common bottlenose dolphin). RNAcentral also lists the same sequence under 4 other names. Lineage: Eukaryota; Metazoa; Chordata; Mammalia; Artiodactyla; Delphinidae. The record is from RNAcentral.